This 444-nucleotide ribosomal RNA is filed under the name uncultured bacterium. Its description in RNAcentral is "bacterial SSU rRNA". It matches the Rfam family "Bacterial small subunit ribosomal RNA", at positions 355 to 794 of the family's 1533-position model. The record is from RNAcentral.
UGAGGAAUAUUGGGUCAAUGGGCGGAAGCCUGAACCAGCCAAGUCGCGUGCGGGACGAAGGCCCUACGGGUCGCAGACCGCUUUUGCGGGGGGACAGCAGCGGGGACGAGUCCCCGCCCGAGGGUACCCCGCGAAUAAGGACCGGCUAACUCCGUGCCAGCAGCCGCGGUAAUACGGAGGGUCCGGGCGUUAUCCGGAAUCAUUGGAUUUAAAGGGUGCGCAGGCGGGCCUGCAAGCCCGCGGUGAAACCCCGGCGCUCAACGCCGGGCCUGCCGCGGGAACUGCCGGCCUUCGAGUUGCGCCGGGGGCGGCGGAACGCGGGGUGUAGCGGUGAAAUGCUUAGAUACCCCGCAGAACCCCGAUCGCGAAGGCAGCCGCCCAGGCGCCGACUGACGCUGAGGCACGAAGGCAUGGGGAUCGAACAGGAUUAGAUACCCUGGUAGU